Long non-coding RNA from Juglans microcarpa x Juglans regia, 3279 nucleotides. RefSeq lists it as uncharacterized. The record is from RefSeq and is a predicted model, not a curated record. The transcript has 2 exons. NCBI's taxonomy places the organism in Eukaryota, Viridiplantae, Streptophyta, Magnoliopsida, Fagales, Juglandaceae.
CUGUAUUUGGUGAGUCAGUCCACCAUGACCCAUAGGCUAUUAUACCCUUGUGAAUUUGGGGGGCUCUCAAUAAAAUCAAUGGUUAUGUGUGACCAAGGUGGGGAUGGUACGGGUAGGGGUCGUAGGAGUCCAGCAGGGUAUUUGUUUUCAUGUUUCACUCUCUGGCAUAAGUCACAUUCCCUCACAAACCUUUUUACAUCUGCCUUAAGUCAAACCUAGUAGAACUCCCUUCGAGCCCUAUGCAUGGUUUUAUCAAAACCAGCAUGACCCCUCUAAGGCACUACUAUGCAUCAAUUCCAGCAAUUUAGUUUCAAAGGAGUCAUCAUUGGGUACAUAUAUUCGGCUCUUGUACAACAACAGACCAUCUCUAAAAGUGUAGUGGGGUGGCAGGGGAUUGGAGACUAACUCCUGAAAUUGCAGAUCCUUCUCACAUGCCAUCAUUAACUCAAUCAACCAAUCUACUGUAGGAAAAGAUAUUAAACAGAGUACAACUUCCUCUGGUUCCACUUUCCUGGAAAGUGCAUCCGCCACGCGGUUCUCCUUCCCCUUUUUGUACUCGACAAUAAAGUCGUAACCCAAUAGUUUAGUUAACCACUUUUGCUGCAUGGGGGUGCCAAUCUUUUGGUCAAGUAGGUAUUUUAGACUUUCUUGGUCAGUUUUGAUUGUAAAGGACUGACCUAAUAGGUAAGGAUGCCACUUGUGCAUUGCUGAAACAAGAGAAAACAGCUCAUUCUCAUAUGUAGAGAGUUGUAAUGCCUUUCCCUUUAGUUUUUAACUGAAGUAAGUAAUUGGUAUGCCCCCUUGCAUAAGUACCGCCCCUACUGCUCCACCCGAGGCAUCACACUCGAUGGUGAACGGUUGGAAAAAAUCCGGUAAGGCUAAAACAAGUGGCUGUGUAACUGUUGCCUUCAGUUUUUCAAAAGCCUCAUGUGCCUCACUUGUCCAUUCAAAGCUGUUUUUUCUAAGCAUCUAAGUUAGAGGCGCUGCUAUAACCCCAUAUCUACGAAUAAACCUCUGGUAAUACCUUGUGAGGCUAAAAAAACCUCUCAGCCCCUUAGUUGAAUUUGGGAGUGGCCAUUGCAGCAUGGCUUGCAGUUUAUCAGGGUCUGCACGAACCCCUUGAGCUGAUAUUAGGUGUCCCAAAUAAGUGAUUUCACUACAACCAACCGAAACUUCGAUAAUUUGGCAAAUAUGUAUUGUUGCCGCAAGGUUUCCAAAGUAAUUUUUAAGCGCUCCACAUGUUCCACCUCACUUCUGCUGUAUAUUAAUAUGUCAUAAAAAAACACCAAUAUAAAUUUCCGUAGAAAAGGUUUAAACACCUCGUUCAUGAGGCUUUGAAAGGUUGAUAGGGCAUUAGUUAGCCCAAAAGGCAUAACUAAAAGUUUAUAGUGCCCCUCGUGUGUCUAGAACACUAUUUUAGGCACAUCCUUAGGCCUCACGCGAAUCUGGUGGUAUCUAGAACGUAGGUCCAACUUAGAAAAAAUUUUAGAACCAUGUAGUUCGUCCAUAAGUUCUUCUACUACAGGGAUAUGGAACUUAUCUUUGAUUGUGACUUGAUUAAGUGCCAUGUAGUCGACACACAUGUGCCAGGUACCGUUCGCUUUUCUAACUAGCAGCACGGGUGAGGAGAAAGGACUUUGACUCAGUCAAAUUACCCCUGAGUUGAGCAACUCCUUCACUAUCUUCUCAAUUUCAUCCUUUUGAAAAUAAGGAUAUCAGUAUGGCUAGACUAAAACUGGACCUGCUUGGGACAACAGUGUAUUUGCAUGAUCAUGUGUCCUAAGAAGGGGUAACUCCUUAGGUUCAGAAAAAACAUCAAAAUAGGCAUGUAACAAUUACUGCACUAGCCCCAUUUCUUGUGGUUGGUCAUUAUUUUUUGUUUCAUAGAGUAAUUGUAAUAACACCCCUCGGGUCUCCAACUUAUGUUUCUUGUUUCUAUCCCCUUCCUCAAUAAGAUGAGAAGCUGCCAAUCCUUUAAUUUCCACGACCUGGUUGAGAUGAUUGAAUUUCAUUGUGAGGUUCUUAAAGUUCUAUAGGAUAGAACUAAGCCCCUUAACCAUUGGAUGCCUAGAACCAUGCCACACCCCGCUAACAUCAAAACAUGCAUGCUGUCAACAAAACUAGUUCCCUGAAUAUUAAAUCUGGCUUUCACACUUUCCUUUCACUUAGGAGUUGUUCACCACUAGCCACCCUCACCCUUACCUUCUUAUCUCGAUUAAUAGGUAGCUGGCCCUUUAGCACUACCACAGGAUCAAGAAAAUUAUGUGUGGAACCUGUAUCAAUUAAAAUUAUAGUCCACUGUGAUCCCACAUUCCCUUUGACCCUCAUAGUUCUUGGGUUAAGGGAACCUGUGAUUGCAUGCAAUAAUAUCUCCAGAUUAGAUUCCACAAUAGAGAGGUCUAAGGUAGCAAGUGGUUGUUCCACUUCUGGUUUAUCCCACAUUUUAUUCUCACCACUAUCUUCCCAUACCUCCUCAAGGAUAUAUAACUUUGGUUUUCAAAACUAGCCUUAUAGUCAUCAACUGAACUAGUUUGGCGUAAUUUAGUAAGUGAUUCCGUGGGAUCAUUGUAGGCAUUAGGGCCAAAACGCACUGACAAUGCAUGGAUGAAAGAAUCCUAAUUUGUGAAAGCUCCAAUUUCCUCCAUAUUUUGGAACCACAUUAAUGCUUGUCCUUCCAUAUGGAAGGAUGCCAAUCUCAACUUAUGCUGGGGGUAAGGUAUUAUGAAAGUUAAAAAAGGGUUUAUCUUAUAAAUCCAUCCAUUAGGAUAUUCCCCAUGAAAUGAUGGAACUCCACUCAAACGGAUUGAGGAACUACAUCACCAAAAACUUCCCUGCGAUUUUCAUGGUGUUGGUGAGUGACUGAAGAUGAUUCGUUCCUCAUUGUACUAACUGUGUGAUUUCUUUUGCAGCUCCACGAUCAACAUUGCUAGCUGGUUGCUGACUUCCCUACACACGACAGUCAUCUUAGUUUCAAGAGUCUUGAACUGAGACUCUGAGCAUUUCUUCAAAUUUGACAUCUCAAAUUCAAUGGCACGAUAUUGGGCAUCUGUGGUUUUUUUUAGGGCAUUGAGCCAUUCUUGUAACUAGUUAUAGCGAGUUCCUUCAGCCAUUGUAUAGAAUCAAGGAUCUUUGAUAACUGAUACCACUUGUAACAAUUCAUACACAAAGAUUAGAAAUAAAGGGGUUUAUCACUUAUAGGGUGAGGGCCUCCAGAUUUAAUCAAGAGGAAGAAGAUGAAAGAAUUGAGGGAAAUAACUAAAUAUCACUUUUUGCAUAAAA